Molecule: long non-coding RNA, 496 nt
Filed under: Vitis vinifera (wine grape)
Lineage: Eukaryota; Viridiplantae; Streptophyta; Magnoliopsida; Vitales; Vitaceae
Description: long non-coding RNA (VVIN_LNC005897)
Source: RNAcentral
AGCUAAUCCAACAGAACAUUGGAAAAAUUACGCCAUAGUGCUUAGUUGCUUAGGUUGUGGAAAAGCUCUGAAGGUAUGGAAGGAGGGCAGUACUUCUUCGCCACAAAUUUGUACUGGUGUGCACAAAAGAAGCAUGUCAGUUUUAGGACAUUUGAAUUAUCAACCAAUCUACAGCAAACAGAUUCUAAAAAAAACAGGGCAUGUGAAGAACUCGAAAUCAGUCUGGAAACUGGAACAGAAAUUUUGCUCACCUUGUGCUGACUGUAUUUCUCCCUGAUUGCAGGUAAACUAGAAUUGUGGUUGUUACAGCAUAGGCGAUGAAGAGCCUUAACACAAUCACACAAAUCAGAGGGCUGGUAGAGUGUGUAGUGCCUCAAGGUAGAAUUCUGGACCAAAAUCAAUACCAGAUUGAAAUUAGGAGGUUUCAGAAGAGAAAGCUACAACAUAACUCGGUAGUCCAUAAGGCAUUUGAACAAGCAAAAUCUGCCUAACAUUU